RNAcentral lists this ribosomal RNA (220 nucleotides) under uncultured bacterium. RNAcentral describes it as "partial 16S ribosomal RNA". It matches the Rfam family "Bacterial small subunit ribosomal RNA", at positions 524 to 745 of the family's 1533-position model. The record is from RNAcentral.
UACGGAGGGUGCUAGCGUUGUUCGGAAUCACUGGGCGUAAAGGGCGUGUAGGCGGUCUGUUAAGUCUGAUGUGAAAUCCCCUCGCUCAACGAGGGAACUGCGUCGGAUACUGGCAGACUCGAGUACCGGAGAGGAGGUGGAAUUCCCGGUGUAGCGGUGAAAUGCGUAGAUAUCGGAGGAACACCGGUGGCGAAGGCGGCCUUCUGGACGGAUACUGACG